UUCCAGACUCCUACGGGAGGCAGCAGUGGGGAAUAUUGCACAAUGGGGGAAACCCUGAUGCAGCGACGCCGCGUGAGUGAAGAAGUAUUUCGGUAUGUAAAGCUCUAUCAGCAGGGAAGAAAAUGACGGUACCUGACUAAGAAGCCCCGGCUAACUACGUGCCAGCAGCCGCGGUAAUACGUAGGGGGCAAGCGUUAUCCGGAUUUACUGGGCGUAAAGGGAGCGCAGGCGGCGCGCCAAGUCUGAUGUGAAACCCCGGGGCUCAACCCCGGGCAUGCAUUGGAAACUGGCGGGCUGGAGUGCCGGAGAGGUAAGCGGAAUUCCUAGUGUAGCGGUGAAAUGCGUAGAUAUACGGAGGAACACCAGUGGCGAAGGCGGAUUGCUGGACAGUAACUGACGCUGAGGCGCGAAAGCGUGGGGAGCAAACAGGAUUAGAUACCCUAGUA
RNAcentral lists this ribosomal RNA (446 nucleotides) under uncultured bacterium. Its description in RNAcentral is "bacterial SSU rRNA". It matches the Rfam family "Bacterial small subunit ribosomal RNA", at positions 329 to 792 of the family's 1533-position model. The record is from RNAcentral.